CACUCCUGGGGAGGCAGCAGUGGGGAAUUUUGGACACUGGGCGAAAGCCUGAUCCAGCAAUGCCGCGUGAGUGAAGAAGGCCUUCGGGUUGUAAAGCUCUUUUGUCAGGGAAGAAACGGUGAGAGCUAAUAUCUCUUGCUAAUGACGGUACCUGAAGAAUAAGCACCGGCUAACUACGUGCCAGCAGCCGCGGUAAUACGUAGGGUGCAAGCGUUAAUCGGAAUUACUGGGCGUAAAGCGUGCGCAGGCGGUUUUGUAAGUCUGAUGUGAAAUCCCCGGGCUCAACCUGGGAAUUGCAUUGGAGACUGCAAGGCUAGAAUCUGGCAGAGGGGGGUAGAAUUCCACGUGUAGCAGUGAAAUGCGUAGAUAUGUGGAGGAACACCGAUGGCGAAGGCAGCCCCCUGGGUCAAGAUUGACGCUCAUGCACGAAAGCGUGGGGAGCAAACAGGAUUAGAUACCCCAGUAGUCCCAU
Molecule: ribosomal RNA, 472 nt
Filed under: uncultured organism
Description: partial 16S ribosomal RNA
Rfam family: Bacterial small subunit ribosomal RNA
Source: RNAcentral